CGCGAAAACCUUUACAAUGCAACGAAAAGUAGUGAUAAAGGCAACUCCUUGUGCUUUAUCCAAAAAGAUAGGCUUUUUAGUAUGUAAUGUAUACUAAGAAUAAGUGAUGGGCAAGACCGGUGCCAGCAGCCGCGGUAAAUACCGGCGUCACAAGUGGAGAUCACGAUUAACUGGGUCUAAAAGUGUUCGUAGCUGGUCAUAUAAGUCUCUUGUGAAAGUUCUGUAGCUUAACUCGGAAUUGCAAGAGAUACUGUAUGACUUGAGACCGGAAGAGGUGUAAAAGUAUGGAUUGGGUAG
RNAcentral lists this ribosomal RNA (297 nucleotides) under uncultured euryarchaeote. RNAcentral's name for it is "partial 16S ribosomal RNA". It matches the Rfam family "Archaeal small subunit ribosomal RNA", at positions 340 to 629 of the family's 1478-position model. Lineage: Archaea; Methanobacteriati; Methanobacteriota. The record is from RNAcentral.